UCAGUAUCGAUUGGCAACGGAGAGCCGCAAUCAUUAAGAGCAUAACCACGGUUGUAAACAAGAAGAUGAUACAAAAAACGGACAGCAAGAAAACAUUCAAUGUUGGACCGUAUUCUCAGAUCAAAACGAAAAUUAUUACGAAAUACAUACAUACAUUAGUAUAAAAUAAAAAUUUCGAUGGUAUGUUACCUACAUUAAAGAAGAUACAUAAUCUCAACGGUGGUUAAAGCAGAUAAAUUCCAUACAUAGAUGUUCGUUAACCUAUCACCGCUAUGUAUGUAUAUCGUGCGAUUGUGCCGGUGACGCAGUCGGUUGAUAUUUUCGGUAAAACUUGAUUGCGAUAUUCGAUUUUUGUAAAUGUUAUGUGAAAAAAUUUUCAAUUCUAUCCAAAACUCGAAUAUGAUAUAUAAAUAAUAUAUGAAUUGUCUGUAUGUAUUCCGUGGAAAUGCAAUUUUGCGGCGACAAGACAAUUAGUGGAACAGAAAAAAGUAUGAAUGAACUUCAUGGAUUAUACAAUUAAUCAUUAUCCAAAAAGAGCAACAAUGUACAAGACUGUCAAAAGGUUACUUCGGCAUAAGUAUAAGGCCUAUUGUAUAACAGUAUUAAAAGUAUUUAAAUUUUUUAU
This is a non-coding RNA of Megalopta genalis, 625 nucleotides long. Lineage: Eukaryota; Metazoa; Arthropoda; Insecta; Hymenoptera; Halictidae. The record is from RefSeq and is a predicted model, not a curated record.